RNAcentral lists this non-coding RNA (191 nucleotides) under Endozoicomonas numazuensis. Lineage: Bacteria; Pseudomonadati; Pseudomonadota; Gammaproteobacteria; Oceanospirillales; Endozoicomonadaceae. The record is from RNAcentral.
CACCAGUAUGAAUCUGUAGGUCUGGUAAAUUUGAUCUGCCAGACAGGGAACGGGGUUUAAAACCCGGCUGUGCCCGCAACUGUGACGGAGGAGUGCUUCUCUACAGCACCACUGAACUUAACCGGUUUGGGAAGGUGGAGAAGUCACGAUGACACCGGAGCCAGGAGACCUGCCUUAUGUAAUGCAACCAA